This 495-nucleotide ribosomal RNA is filed under the name uncultured bacterium. RNAcentral's name for it is "partial 16S ribosomal RNA". It matches the Rfam family "Bacterial small subunit ribosomal RNA", at positions 28 to 507 of the family's 1533-position model. The record is from RNAcentral.
GACGAACGCUGGCGGCGUGCCUAAUACAUGCAAGUCGAACGCUGAAGGAGGAGCUUGCUUCUAUGGAUGAGUUGCGAACGGGUGAGUAACGCGUAGGUAACCUGCCUGGUAGCGGGGGGUAACUAUUGGAAACGAUAGCUAAUACCGCAUAAGAGUAGAUGUUGCAUGACAUUUGCUUAAAAGGUGCAAUUGCAUCACUACCAGAUGGACCUGCGUUGUAUUAGCUAGUUGGUGGGGUAACGGCUCACCAAGGCGACGCUACCUAGCCCACCUGUGAGGGGGAUAGGCCCCACUGGGGAUGAGACACGGCCCCGACUCCCCCGGGAGGCAGCGGAAGGGAAUCUUCGGCAAUGGACGGAAGUCUGACCGGGAAACGCCGCGUGAGUGAAGAAGGUUUUCGGAUCGUAAAGCUUUGUUGUAAGGGAAGAAAGAGUGUGAGAGUGGAAAGUUCACACCGUGACGGUAUCUUACCAGAAAGGGACGGCUAACUACGUG